RNAcentral lists this long non-coding RNA (280 nucleotides) under Lepisosteus oculatus (spotted gar). Its description in RNAcentral is "lncRNA (ENSLOCG00000021767.1)". The record is from RNAcentral. Lineage: Eukaryota; Metazoa; Chordata; Actinopteri; Semionotiformes; Lepisosteidae.
AUGAAUUUUAUGAGACAGAGAUUAAUCGAAUCCCAUUACUGCUUGCGAUAUGGCAGAUAUUUAUCAUUUUCGAAGCAUUCUUGGUGUCCUCAAUGGCAGCUCAGCUAUUGCUGGACACAGGCACCCACCAGCACAUCAAAAGGCAGGAGUCCAGGACACUGGGCAGGUGAGCCCAAGCUGUGGAAGAGGCAAGGGCUGAGGCCGACCUGUGGCUGCAGGUGUCUGGGACGCAGGUAGAACGCCCAGUGGAGUCGGGAUCCCAGAGCCAGCGCCAGGGCUC